RNAcentral lists this unclassified non-coding RNA (335 nucleotides) under soil metagenome. RNAcentral's name for it is "partial contains 5.8S ribosomal RNA, internal transcribed spacer 2, and large subunit ribosomal RNA". The stretch from base 1 to 120 matches the Rfam family "5.8S ribosomal RNA", at positions 35 to 154 of the family's 154-position model. The record is from RNAcentral.
GAUGAAGAACGUAGCGAAAUGCGAUAACUAAUGUGAAUUGCAGAAUUCAGUGAAUCAUCGAAUCUUUGAACGCACAUUGCGCCCCCUGGUAUUCCGGGGGGCAUGCCUGUCCGAGCGUCAUUGCAACCCUCAAGCGCGGCUUGCGUGUUGGGCGCCGUCCCCCGUGGACGCGCCCGAAAGGCAGUGGCGGUACCGUGCUCCGGUGCCCGAGCGUAUGGGCUUAAAACCCGCUCUUGUGGCCCGGCCGGCGCUGGCCUCGACCCCCAACUUUACAAGGUUGACCUCGGAUCAGGUAGGGAUACCCGCUGAACUUAAGCAUAUCAAUAAGCGGAGGA